AUGAUCUUCUUUUAUGAUCCACAGAAGAAUGAAAGCAAUAUAGGUUUGGAACAACAUGAUUUGAUGCAGAAACACCUCCAUGUUAAGCGGCUGCACACAGGAAGUGAGUCCUUUGGGGAGGAAAUGGCUCCCAGAUGUGUGGAUGUGACCCAGAGCUCUGGAGAGGGAGGUGAGCGAAGGUCAGUCCUGAGGGAGGACAAGAAAAACUGACAGCAGUGUGUCACAACCCACCUUCAUCACCGCAUUGCGCAGGAAAAACGUCAUUUCGAUCGAAAACAUAAAGGUCCAAAACAUCUGCUCAUACUCCGCUUAUGGAAACAGAAAUCAGAUGCAUUUUUACACAUUUCUGAUGGUGCUGUUCCACACUAUUUAUUUUUUACUUUUAAUUAAAACUUCAAUUGUAGCUAAACGGGACACUUUAGGGACCAAUUCUCACUUUGACAAGUUGCUUAUUAGCAUGCAUAUAUCUUGAUGAUGAAGCCAAUGGCUCUACAGUGAUAUUUUUGUUGCAAGUGUUUGGCACCUUCAUCUGAUCCCAUUAUGUUCUAAUACAAGCGUUAAUUUAUCGAGGCUGAGCAAGGACGUUUGUUAUGUCUGCAUUGUCAUUGUAGUAGCAACAAACUCACAAACACAGAUUGCAGUGGUCUUUCAUCUAUGACCCGGCUUUUUCCGCACGCUAGCAACAGUGAGGUCAUCGCAGCCGUAUCAAACAAGCCUUGCAGAUGUCCACCUUCAGAUACUGAAAGACUCAUCCCAGUUCGUGUAUCGAUCACAUCUUUCUCUUGUGUCACAUUAGAGAUCGUCUGACGGUCGUUUCAAAGCCCAGAAUGUUUUGCUGUGUUGCCGCACAUGUUGUUUAGCAAUGCACGAACGUUUCGUCCCCGGUUCUGCGGUGAGGUGGCAACAGGGUGAAUUAGAGGCACGAGGGAUCGAGAUGAGGAAAGAGAAGAGCGAGGGGUCUCCAGUGUUAGUGAAACAUUAUGUCACGGCCUUGACGAGGAAAUGAAAAGCGCAGCAUCAAUCAGGCGUUGGGCCAAGAUCAAAGCCAGCCCCACACUCUCCCAUAUGGUUCUGUUUGACCAGUGCUUUGCUUUUCCCUCUUUGCUUUUUUCUUGGCCUCUCAGUAGUUUUUCUUCUUUUCUGAGAGCGGGCCUUUUGUUUUUUUCCCCGUCAGAAAUUCCUCCACGUUACUGAGGCAACGAUGUGGUAGCACGCAAGGUGAGAGGUCUAAGAAAACCAAACCUGCCACAGAUUCUCGGUUUCACACUCGUCUCGCCAACAUUUCCUCCUUUUUCCUGCACUCUCUUUCAUGUUUCUCUUUCCUCCUGGUCCUGUGUGUAGCACCAUAUAUUCUAUUGCAGUAUAUUCACUGGUUGAUGUCUUAUAUGCGUGUGCUCAUAAUUCAGGGUUGGCAUGCAUUUGCGCAUGUGAAAGUCUGCACAGAGAAAUGCAUGAAGGCACAUAGCUUGUAUAUGAGUCAGUGAGAGUGUCCAUGCAAAAACCAAAGAAAAGUCUUACAAGUUAAGUUUAAAAUAUCCACCAAAUAUUGAAAAUUUACUCGUUUGUUUGUAGGUUUCA
Molecule: long non-coding RNA, 1578 nt
Organism: Cyprinus carpio carpio
Lineage: Eukaryota; Metazoa; Chordata; Actinopteri; Cypriniformes; Cyprinidae
Source: Ensembl